Molecule: long non-coding RNA, 357 nt
Filed under: Taeniopygia guttata (zebra finch)
Lineage: Eukaryota; Metazoa; Chordata; Aves; Passeriformes; Estrildidae
Description: lncRNA (ENSTGUG00000019905.1)
Source: RNAcentral
AUGACUUGCAUGAAGAUGUUGGUAUCCUGCAUCUGUUUCCCUGUUUUGCCAGAUGCUUUGAGCUCAACAGGUCGCCAAGAGCAGGCAGUGAAACCCCAAACCUUCAGCGGUGGCUUUGGAUGCCUGCAGCAGCCAGGGCUUCUCUGGCCACCUGUGUGUUUGCGGCUUUUAAGUGCCUGCCCAGACCCUGACGUUUCAAGCAAACUGGAUUGCUUGAAGCACAUGGAAGGAUCAUGCUGGUUCCAAACUCCUUUCAAUAUGAACUGCAACUGCAUUACUUGCUUUUGGAUAUCAUAUUUUGUGCACCUUUUUGGACUUGCAGGAAUGUGGGGUUUUUUUUCUACAGGAAAUGAUUGA